UACAGAGGGGGCAAGCGUUGUUCGGAAUUACUGGGCGUAAAGGGCGCGUAGGCGGCCUGUUAAGUCGAACGUGAAAUCCCCGGGCUCAACCCGGGAACUGCGUCCGAUACUGGCAGGCUUGAAUUCGGGAGAGGGAUGCGGAAUUCCAGGUGUAGCGGUGAAAUGCGUAGAUAUCUGGAGGAACACCGGUGGCGAAGGCGGCAUCCUGGACCGGCAUUGACGCUGAGGAGCGAAAGCCAGGGGAGCAAACGGG
Molecule: ribosomal RNA, 253 nt
Filed under: uncultured bacterium
Lineage: Bacteria
Description: partial 16S ribosomal RNA
Rfam family: Bacterial small subunit ribosomal RNA
Source: RNAcentral